Molecule: ribosomal RNA, 253 nt
Filed under: uncultured bacterium
Lineage: Bacteria
Description: partial 16S ribosomal RNA
Rfam family: Bacterial small subunit ribosomal RNA
Source: RNAcentral
UACGAAGGGGGCUAGCGUUGCUCGGAUUGACUGGGCGUAAAGGGCGCGUAGGCGGUUCGUACAGUCAGACGUGAAAUUCCUGGGCUCAACCUGGGGGCUGCGUUUGAUACGUGCGGACUUGAGUGCGGAAGAGGGUCGUGGAAUUCCCAGUGUAGAUGUGAAAUUCGUAGAUAUUGGGAAGAACACCGGUGGCGAAGGCGGCGACCUGGUCCGAUACUGACGCUGAGGCGCGAAAGCGUGGGGAGCAAACAGG